GAGUAAAGAUUUCGGUCGCUUUGGGAGGAGCUCGCUUACUAUCAGCUUGUUGGUAGGGUAAUGGCCUACCAAGGCUAUGACGGUUAGGGGGUGUGAGAGCAUGACCCCCAGCAUUGGCACUGAAACACUGGCCAAACACCUACGGGUGGCUGCGGUCGAGAAUCUUCCACAAUGGGGGAAACCCUGAUGGAGCGAUGCUGCGUGCGGGAUGAAGGCCUUCGGGUUGUAAACCGCUUUUGUAGGGGACGAAAUUUUUGACGGUACCCUUUCGAAUAAGAGGUUGCUAACUCUGUGCCAGCAGCAGCGGUAAUACAGAGACCUCAAGCGUUAUCCGGAUUUACUGGGCGUAAAGCGUCUGUAGGGGGUUUAUUAAGUUCCAAGUAAAAUUUCAAGGCUCAACUUUGAAUUCGCUUGGAAAACUAAUAAACUGGAGUCUAGCAGAGGUGCAUGGAACUUGUGGUGUAGGAGUGAAAUCCGUUGAUAUCACAAGGAACACCAAAGGCGAAGGCAUUGCACUGGGCUAGCACUGACCCUGAGAGACGAAAGCGUGGGGAGCAAAACGGAUUAGAUACCCGUGUAGUCCACGCCCUAAACGAUGAAUGCUAAAUGUUCGGGGAUUCGACCCCCUGGGUGUUACAGCUAACGCGUUAAGCAUUCCGCCUGGGAAGUACGGCUGCAAGGCUAAAACUCAAAGGAAUAGACGGGGAUCCGCACAAGCGGUGGAGCGUCUGGUUUAAUUCGACAGUAAGCGUGGUACCUCACCAGGGUUUGACAUCCCUUGACAGCCUUGGAAACAAGGUUUCCUUCGGGCAAGGUGACAGGUGCUGCAUGGUCGUCGUCAGUUCGUGCCGUGAGGUGUUCCGUUAAGUCGGGAAACGAACGAAACCCCUAUUGCAUGUUACAAUUUCUCAUGCAAGACUGCCCGGAUAUACUGGGAGGAAGGUGGGGAUGACGUCAGAUCUGCAUGGUCCUUAUACCCUGGGCGACACAGGCGCUACAAUGGCAGAGACAAAGGGUUGCAAAACCGCAAGGUGAAGCUAAUCCCAAAAACUUUGUCUAAGUUCGGAUUGAAGGCUGCAAUUCGCCUUCAUGAAGCUGGAAUCGCUAGUAAUCGUGAAUCAGCCACGUCACGGUGAAUAUGUUCCCGGAUCUUGUACUCACCGCCCGUCACACCAAGAGAGUUGGUAGCUCCCGA
RNAcentral lists this ribosomal RNA (1195 nucleotides) under uncultured organism. RNAcentral describes it as "bacterial SSU rRNA". It matches the Rfam family "Bacterial small subunit ribosomal RNA", at positions 199 to 1424 of the family's 1533-position model. The record is from RNAcentral.